UGCUGGGAGCUCACAUGAUUCAUCGCAGCACCAGCCUGCACAGGCUGCACACUCACUGGGGCUGUAACACUGCUUGACCCUAGACUGUGGACGCACACAGAAACUGGCAAAACAACCCUGCAUACUCCGGAAAAAAACAAGGCUGUGGGGAAUAUUAUCACCAGUCAUUUAGAUUUGAGUGGCCAUUUUAUGAUGCUGGACUUGUUUUGCAGCUCUCCGUUGCAUUUCAUUUCAAAUUUUUGGAUACAAACAUAGGCUAAGAAGAGUUGAUUAGACACGUCUAUUUAAGUACCGGGCUGCAGCAGCUGGACUGGCGGCACUGGCCUCUGACUUGCCUCCAUGGGGCCAUGAUCAUUUCCUGUGCGCCCCUCUGCCCUUUAUCUUGCUGACAGUGGCUCCAAUCCCGCUGGCUGCACUCUGCCUGCUUGCUGCCUGCCAACACUGGGAAACAUUACUUUAAAAAUGGAAAUUAUUACCCGAUGAACAUCAUUUUUACUCCGCAUUUGUUUGUUUUUUAACCAAGAAUUGAAUACAAACCUUACGAAAUGACAGGUGCUUUUGGUCCAAUUAUUAUUAAAUAAACAGAAUAAAAUGAA
This is a long non-coding RNA of Sander lucioperca (pikeperch), 596 nucleotides long. RefSeq lists it as uncharacterized. Lineage: Eukaryota; Metazoa; Chordata; Actinopteri; Perciformes; Percidae. The record is from RefSeq and is a predicted model, not a curated record. The transcript is spliced from 2 exons.